RNAcentral lists this ribosomal RNA (253 nucleotides) under uncultured bacterium. Its description in RNAcentral is "partial 16S ribosomal RNA". It matches the Rfam family "Bacterial small subunit ribosomal RNA", at positions 524 to 776 of the family's 1533-position model. The record is from RNAcentral.
UACUGAGGGGACUAGCGUUGUUCGGAAUUACUGGGCGUAAAGCGCACGUAGGCGGAUUUGUAAGUCAGGGGCGAAAUCCCGGGGCUCAACCUCGGAACUGCCUAUGAUACUGCAAAUCUCGAGUCCGGAAGAGGUGAGUGGAAUGCCUAGUGUAGAGGUGAAAUUCGUAGAUAUUAGGAAGAACACCAGUGGCGAAGGCGGCUCACUGGACCGGUACUGACGCUGAGGUGCGAAAGCGUGGGGAGCUAACAGG